CUGUGUGAGUUGCUUUCUGCUGUAAAUAUGGACAUAUAAUAAGGUUGAUGGAAUUUAGGUGAGCAUCAUGUGACAUAGAGAGUAGUAGAAUUUAGAUUCUCAUGAAGACCCAUCACACAUAC
Molecule: small nucleolar RNA, 122 nt
Filed under: Triticum aestivum (bread wheat)
Lineage: Eukaryota; Viridiplantae; Streptophyta; Magnoliopsida; Poales; Poaceae
Also listed under: 1 other name
Source: RNAcentral